UUACUGUAAAACUUGAUGAUCUUUGUUUGAAAUGAAUUGAAAGUGCUAAACUUUCUUCCUUCUCCUUUCCUUUCUUGAUUUCGGUUUUUUGCUCUCUUUUUAAGUGUAUAAAUGUUUUGUAAAAUGAAAGAGAUCUCUCUAUGGCAAUGGAUAUGGAUGUAUUUAUACUCAUAUAAAGAUAAGGAUAAAACUUGAUAUUUUUAUUUUUUUAUUACUUGGUUUGGCCG
This 227-nucleotide long non-coding RNA is filed under the name Olea europaea (common olive). RNAcentral describes it as "long non-coding RNA (OEUR_LNC000766)". Lineage: Eukaryota; Viridiplantae; Streptophyta; Magnoliopsida; Lamiales; Oleaceae. The record is from RNAcentral.